This 460-nucleotide ribosomal RNA is filed under the name uncultured bacterium. Its description in RNAcentral is "partial 16S ribosomal RNA". It matches the Rfam family "Bacterial small subunit ribosomal RNA", at positions 338 to 795 of the family's 1533-position model. The record is from RNAcentral.
CCUACGGGGGGCAGCAGUGAGGAAUAUUGGUCAAUGGGCGCGAGCCUGAACCAGCCAAGUCGCGUGAGGGAGGACGGCCCUACGGGUUGUAAACCUCUUUUGCCGGGGAGCAACGGGCGCCACGUGUGGCGUCACUGAGAGUACCCGGAGAAAAAGCAUCGGCUAACUCCGUGCCAGCAGCCGCGGUAAUACGGAGGAUGCGAGGGUUAUCCGGAUUGAUUGGGUUUAAGGGGUGCGUAGGCGGAUCGUUAAGUCAGUGGUCAAAUUGAGGGGCUCAACCCCUUCCCGCCAUUGAAACUGGCGUUCUUGAGUAUCGGAGAGGUAAUCGGAAUGCCUAGUGUAGCGGUGAAAUGCGUAGAUAUUAGGAAGAACACCAGUGGCGAAGGCGGAUUACUGGACGACAACUGGCGGUGAGGCGCGAAAGCGUGGGGAGCAAACAGGAUUAGAUACCCUGGUAGUC